Molecule: long non-coding RNA, 1428 nt
Filed under: Pogona vitticeps (central bearded dragon)
Lineage: Eukaryota; Metazoa; Chordata; Lepidosauria; Squamata; Agamidae
Description: lncRNA (ENSPVIG00000018176.1)
Source: RNAcentral
AAAAAGGGCAUGAAAAACAAUGUACAGAACUUACAAUGUGAAUAGCUAAAAGUUGUGCAACUGAAAAAUAAGAAGUGGGAGAAAUCUCUAAAUUUGGCAAAAUGUGUACAUACGGAAAUGUGCACAUUAGACAAGCAGUGUAAAUAAAUGUGCAUAUUAGGGGGAAGUGGUAAAAAGUAUAUUUAAAUGCAGGAAGAAAAAGUCCUGAUGAAAUACAAAAAUGUAAAGAAAAUACAGAGGUAGGGUGGGUUUCUCCUUACAAAAAUUGAUAAGAUGUGAGUCGCCAUAUGCAAUAUUUCUUAAACUUAAACAUGGAUGUUUCUGUCAGAGUUUUCCACCUUUUUUACUGUCUCUUGAGCCAGACAAAUGUAACUGCUUGUCCUCUCUUGACUUCAAACGCAUAUGAUGCAGACUCAGAAUCUCACUAGACUGACUGAAUUAGUACAAUUGUUGAAGGAGCAAGAUGCUUGAUCCAUUUAGUGGUCGGAUGAUUUAUUUUGCCAUCAGGAUCACUGGAUGCCUUUGUCUUCAAUGACCCCUUUCUCAUCAUAUAAAUAGACCUUUUGUCUACUGUAAGCAUCAGAUGGACCAUGUGAUGCUGUUGUCUAGUUUACUGCUCUUACAACCACCCAGAAAUAACAGCUUUCAGGAGUUCUGUCUCAGACAUGAAGGUGAAUAUAAAGUUUAACACAUACUCUCUCUAUAACACACACACACAGGAGAGAGAGAGAAAGAGAGAGAGAGAACAAUUUUUUGUAUUACAAAAGAUUUCUAUCUGGAAUUGUUUAUAAAGAGUACGUCUUUAGAAUCAUUUGCUCAUGGCCAGUCAUCCCUCUAAAAUGAAUGAAAGGAUAAGUCUAUCAACAGUGAUUCACCAUAACUGUACACACAAAGGCAGCAUACAGAUACCUCUAAAACCUGUCUGCUGAAGAAAAACAACAGGAGACAUCUAUCACCUUCAGGCCUUGCUAAUGAACACCAGAAAUUAUGAUCAGCCAACAGAGGAAAGAGAAAGCUGAAUGUAGCGACAGAGCUUUUUCCAUGUUCCUAUGACUGCAAAGCAAACCACUCAAGAUACAUUCUAGCGUGAGUUAUUCUCUUCUGAAUCACAUUGAUUUUUAUAGGAAAGUGAAGCAUAUGCUUAAACUGAGAGUAUGGAAAACUACUUUGUAAAAGGAAUUAAUCCACAAUAUUAAUUCUGGUGUUUGAUAAGCAACCUAUUGCUGUCACCUAUUGCUCUGCUGAAGAAAUAAUUUAUUUCACUACUUGUGCUACUCAUUCUUUUCUCGUACUCUCUGCUCUUCUUUUUGGAGGGCAAGGUAUUAUAUCUUGAUGUUUGUAUGGCAUACAAAUCGAAAAAUGCUUCUAAAAUGACUUAAAAGACCACAAUCCGGGGUCAAAUCAGAGGAGAGGUUUUCAUUCUUACUA